RNAcentral lists this ribosomal RNA (223 nucleotides) under Staphylococcus haemolyticus. RNAcentral describes it as "partial 23S ribosomal RNA". It matches the Rfam family "Bacterial large subunit ribosomal RNA", at positions 1404 to 1621 of the family's 2925-position model. The record is from RNAcentral. Lineage: Bacteria; Bacillati; Bacillota; Bacilli; Caryophanales; Staphylococcaceae.
GACAGGCGUAGGCGAUGGAUAACAGGUUGAUAUUCCUGUACCACCUAGCAUCGUUUUAAUCGAUGGGGGGACGCAGUAGGAUAGGCGAAGCGUACGAUUGGAUUGUACGUCUAAGCAGUGAGAUUGAGUGUUAGGCAAAUCCGGCACUCUUAAGAUUGAGCUGUGAUGGGGAGAGGAAAUUGUUUCCUCGAGUCGUUGAUUUCACACUGCCGAGAAAAGCCUC